ACGCGCAGAACCUUACCAACCCUUGACAUCCUAGGACCGCUCCAGAGAUGGAGUUUUCUCGUAAGAGACCUAGUGACAGGUGCUGCAUGGCUGUCGUCAGCUCGUGUCGUGAGAUGUUCGGUUAAGUCCGGCAACGAGCGCAACCCACAUCCUUAGUUGCCAGCAUUCAGUUGGGCACUCUAGGGAAACUGCCCGUGAUAAGCGGGAGGAAGGUGUGGAUGACGUCAAGUCCUCAUGGCCCUUACGGGUUGGGCUACACACGUGCUACAAUGGCAGUGACAAUGGGUUAAUCCCAAAAAGCUGUCUCAGUUCGGAUUGGGGUCUGCAACUCGACCCCAUGAAGUCGGAAUCGCUAGUAAUCGCGUAACAGCAUGACGCGGUGAAUACGUUCCCGGGCCUUGUACACACCGCCCGUCACACCAUGGGAGUUGGGUCUACCCGAAGGCGGUGCGCCAACCAGCAAUGGAGGC
This 470-nucleotide ribosomal RNA is filed under the name uncultured bacterium. Its description in RNAcentral is "bacterial SSU rRNA". It matches the Rfam family "Bacterial small subunit ribosomal RNA", at positions 959 to 1450 of the family's 1533-position model. The record is from RNAcentral.